RNAcentral lists this ribosomal RNA (58 nucleotides) under Xylaria fissilis. RNAcentral's name for it is "partial 28S ribosomal RNA". It matches the Rfam family "Eukaryotic large subunit ribosomal RNA", at positions 1 to 57 of the family's 3401-position model. The record is from RNAcentral. Lineage: Eukaryota; Fungi; Ascomycota; Sordariomycetes; Xylariales; Xylariaceae.
UUGACCUCGGAUCAGGGAGGAAUACCCGCUGAACUUAAGCAUAUCAAUAAGCGGAGGA